GACGAACGCUGGCGGCGUGCUUAACACAUGCAAGUCGAACGAGGUCCACUGCGGAGCAAUCCAAGGGAAGACCUAGUGGCGAACGGGUGCGUAACACGUGAGGAACUUGUCCCGGUCUCUGGGAUAACAGUUGGAAACGACUGCUAAUACCGGAUGACGUCGGAACUCCGCAUGGGGUACUGACGAAAGGGUUACUGGAUCGGGAGAGCCUCGCGGCCUAUCAGCUAGUUGGUGGGGUAACGGCCCACCAAGGCAUCGACGGGUAGCUGGUCUGAGAGGAUGAUCAGCCACACUGGGACUGAGACACGGCCCAGACUCCUACGGGAGGCGGCAGUGGGGAAUCUUGCGCAAUGGGCGAAAGCCUGACGCAGCAACGCCGCGUGCGGGAAGAAGGCUCUCGGGUUGUAAACCGCUUUCAGCAGGAACGAAAAUGACGGUACUUGCAGAAGAAGGUGCGGCCAACUACGUGCCAGCAGCCGCGGUAAU
This 486-nucleotide ribosomal RNA is filed under the name uncultured bacterium. Its description in RNAcentral is "bacterial SSU rRNA". It matches the Rfam family "Bacterial small subunit ribosomal RNA", at positions 28 to 524 of the family's 1533-position model. The record is from RNAcentral.